Molecule: ribosomal RNA, 425 nt
Filed under: uncultured bacterium
Lineage: Bacteria
Description: bacterial SSU rRNA
Rfam family: Bacterial small subunit ribosomal RNA
Source: RNAcentral
UGGGGAAUUGUUCGCAAUGGGCGCAAGCCUGACGACGCAACGCCGCGUGGAGGAUGAAGGUCUUCGGAUUGUAAACUCCUGUUGCCCGGGACGAAACGCUCUGACCUAACACGUCGGAGUUUGACGGUACCGGGUGAGGAAGCCCCGGCUAACUCUGUGCCAGCAGCCGCGGUAAUACAGAGGGGGCAAGCGUUGUUCGGAAUUACUGGGCGUAAAGCGCGUGUAGGCGGCUUUGUAAGUUGGGUGUGAAAGCCCUCGGCUUAACCGAGGAAGUGCGCCCAAAACUGCAUGGCUUGAGUACCGGAGAGGGUGGCGGAAUUCCCGGUGUAGAGGUGAAAUUCGUAAAUAUCGGGAGGAACACCAGCGGCGAAGGCGGCCACCUGGACGGAUACUGACGCUGAGACGCGAAAGCGUGGGGAGCAAAC